AAUAUAGUAACAACAUUACAACAUUUACUUUUUUUUAAAGAAAAUGUCUUCAUCCAUAAACAGUAAAAACCAUUUUGCUUAAGCAAGUCAACAAAAAACUUAGGCUUAUGAAUAAAUAUAUAUCUUUCAAUAGUCCUUACUACAUUUCUAGGUAAGUUAUGUACUAUUCUACUAAACUUUUAAAUCUGACUAAGAAGAAAAGAAACAAAAUACGAAAUGAAAGCUUAAACAUCCUCAAAUAACAAUCCAAACUUUAGAAAAAUAUUCGUCAAGUAUAAAAUUUAUAUCU
This 289-nucleotide long non-coding RNA is filed under the name Carica papaya (papaya). RNAcentral describes it as "long non-coding RNA (CPAP_LNC016443)". Lineage: Eukaryota; Viridiplantae; Streptophyta; Magnoliopsida; Brassicales; Caricaceae. The record is from RNAcentral.